This 253-nucleotide ribosomal RNA is filed under the name uncultured bacterium. RNAcentral's name for it is "partial 16S ribosomal RNA". It matches the Rfam family "Bacterial small subunit ribosomal RNA", at positions 524 to 776 of the family's 1533-position model. The record is from RNAcentral.
UACGAAGGGUGCAAGCGUUACUCGGAAUUACUGGGCGUAAAGCGUGCGUAGGUGGUUUGUUAAGUCUGUUGUGAAAGCCCCGGGCUCAACCUGGGAAUGGCAAUGGAUACUGGCAAGCUAGAGUGCGGUAGAGGGUAGUGGAACUCCCGGUGUAGCGGUGAAAUGCGUAGAGAUCGGGAGGAACACCAGUGGCGAAGGCGGCUACCUGGACCAGCACUGACACUGAGGCACGAAAGCGUGGGGAGCAAACAGG